GGUAGUCCACGCCGUAAACGAUGUCGACUUGGAGGCUGUUCCCCUGAGGAGUGGCUUCCGGAGCUAACGCGUUAAGUCGACCGCCUGGGGAGUACGGCCGCAAGGUUAAAACUCAAAUGAAUUGACGGGGGCCCGCACAAGCGGUGGAGCAUGUGGUUUAAUUCGAUGCAACGCGAAGAACCUUACCUGGCCUUGACAUCCAGAGAACUUAGCAGAGAUGCUUCGGUGCCUUCGGGAACUCUGAGACAGGUGCUGCAUGGCUGUCGUCAGCUCGUGUUGUGAAAUGUUGGGUUAAGUCCCGCAACGAGCGCAACCCUUAUCCUUUGUUGCCAGCGGGUGAUGCCGGGAACUCAAAGGAGACUGCCGGUGAUAAACCGGAGGAAGGUGGGGAUGACGUCAAGUCAUCAUGGCCCUUACGGCCAGGGCUACACACGUGCUACAAUGGCGCAUACAAAGAGAAGCGACCUCGCGAGAGCAAGCGGACCUCAUAAAGUGCGUCGUAGUCCGGAUCGGAGUCUGCAACUCGACUCCGUGAAGUCGGAAUCGCUAGUAAUCGUAGAUCAGAAUGCUACGGUGAAUACGUUCCCGGGCCUUGUACACACCGCCCGUCACACCAUGGGAGUGGGUUGCAAAAGAAGUAGGUAGCUUAACCUCCGGGAGGGCGCUUACCACUUUGUGAUUCAUGACUGGGGUGAAGUCGUAACAAGGUAACC
This 713-nucleotide ribosomal RNA is filed under the name uncultured bacterium. RNAcentral describes it as "bacterial SSU rRNA". It matches the Rfam family "Bacterial small subunit ribosomal RNA", at positions 789 to 1501 of the family's 1533-position model. The record is from RNAcentral.